GUGGGUGGAGCUCAGUGGUAGAGCGCAUGCUUAGCAUGCGUGAGGUCCUGGGUUCAAUCCCCGGUACCUCCA
This 72-nucleotide transfer RNA is filed under the name Camelus dromedarius (Arabian camel). It matches the Rfam family "tRNA". From Rfam's summary of the family: Transfer RNA (tRNA) molecules are approximately 80 nucleotides in length. Their secondary structure includes four short double-helical elements and three loops (D, anti-codon, and T loops). Further hydrogen bonds mediate the characteristic L-shaped molecular structure. tRNAs have two regions of fundamental functional importance: the anti-codon, which is responsible for specific mRNA codon recognition, and the 3' end, to which the tRNAs corresponding amino acid is attached (by aminoacyl-tRNA synthetases). tRNAs cope with the degeneracy of the genetic code in two manners: having more than one tRNA (with a specific anti-codon) for a particular amino acid; and 'wobble' base-pairing, i.e. permitting non-standard base-pairing at the 3rd anti-codon position. RNAcentral also lists the same sequence under 2 other names. Lineage: Eukaryota; Metazoa; Chordata; Mammalia; Artiodactyla; Camelidae. The record is from Rfam by way of RNAcentral.